Molecule: ribosomal RNA, 100 nt
Filed under: Pectobacterium polaris
Lineage: Bacteria; Pseudomonadati; Pseudomonadota; Gammaproteobacteria; Enterobacterales; Pectobacteriaceae
Source: RNAcentral
CGGUGGUCCCACCUGACCCCAUGCCGAACUCAGAAGUGAAACGCCGUAGCGCCGAUGGUAGUGUGGGGUUUCCCCAUGUGAGAGUAGGGAACUGCCAGGU